GGUAUGGUGGCAUAGUGGUUAGAGUGUUGGACUGUGACUGGAGACCAGGGUUCGAUCCCCUGAAACCC
This is a non-coding RNA of Phrynosoma platyrhinos (Desert horned lizard), 68 nucleotides long. Lineage: Eukaryota; Metazoa; Chordata; Lepidosauria; Squamata; Phrynosomatidae. The record is from the annotation of a GenBank genome assembly.